AUGGGUGAGAUGGAAAGGCAGAAAAUGGAAGAAGCAAGAAAAGCUUACAUCGUUGCAGUUGUUGUUAGCAAAGAAAAGCAAGAUGAAGAAUCUAUUGCUGCCACUGCUAAUGCUAGGUUACAUCUUCAAUCAGUUGCAGCGGUUACAUGGAAGACAAAUAUAAUUGUGGUAAUUGUUACUAGAAGAGCAGUUGUGGCUGCAACUAAUGUUAUAGUCACAGCAGCUGCUUUGUGA
Vicia faba (fava bean) is the source of this 234-nucleotide non-coding RNA. The record is from the annotation of a GenBank genome assembly. NCBI's taxonomy places the organism in Eukaryota, Viridiplantae, Streptophyta, Magnoliopsida, Fabales, Fabaceae.